GGCACCAUGGCCUAAUGGUAAGGCGUUGCUUUCCGGCUAACUACCCUGGCAAAGAUUAUGGGUUCGAGUCCCAUUGGUGUCG
This is a non-coding RNA of Boeremia exigua, 82 nucleotides long. NCBI's taxonomy places the organism in Eukaryota, Fungi, Ascomycota, Dothideomycetes, Pleosporales, Didymellaceae. The record is from the annotation of a RefSeq genome assembly.